RNAcentral lists this ribosomal RNA (678 nucleotides) under Streptococcus gallolyticus. Its description in RNAcentral is "bacterial SSU rRNA". It matches the Rfam family "Bacterial small subunit ribosomal RNA", at positions 44 to 705 of the family's 1533-position model. Lineage: Bacteria; Bacillati; Bacillota; Bacilli; Lactobacillales; Streptococcaceae. The record is from RNAcentral.
GUGCCUAAUACAUGCAAGUAGAACGCUGACUACUUUAGCUUGCUAGAGUAGAAGGAGUUGCGAACGGGUGAGUAACGCGUAGGUAACCUGCCUACUAGCGGGGGAUAACUAUUGGAAACGAUAGCUAAUACCGCAUAACAGUGUUUAACACAUGUUAGAUGCUUGAAAGAUGCAAAUGCAUCACUAGUAGAUGGACCUGCGUUGUAUUAGCUAGUUGGUGGGGUAACGGCCUACCAAGGCGACGAUACAUAGCCGACCUGAGAGGGUGAUCGGCCACACUGGGACUGAGACACGGCCCAGACUCCUACGGGAGGCAGCAGUAGGGAAUCUUCGGCAAUGGGGGCAACCCUGACCGAGCAACGCCGCGUGAGUGAAGAAGGUUUUCGGAUCGUAAAGCUCUGUUGUAAGAGAAGAACGUGUGUGAGAGUGGAAAGUUCACACAGUGACGGUAACUUACCAGAAAGGGACGGCUAACUACGUGCCAGCAGCCGCGGUAAUACGUAGGUCCCGAGCGUUGUCCGGAUUUAUUGGGCGUAAAGCGAGCGCAGGCGGUUUAAUAAGUCUGAAGUUAAAGGCAGUGGCUUAACCAUUGUUCGCUUUGGAAACUGUUAAACUUGAGUGCAGAAGGGGAGAGUGGAAUUCCAUGUGUAGCGGUGAAAUGCGUAGAUAUAUGGAGGA